GGGCUUCAUCUUCAGUGUGUGUAAGGCUCGCUCAGUAUGACUUCAGUGUGUGUGUGAGUGUGAUGGUGUCCUCUCAUCUAAACAACCUCUUAAACGGAUCCACCUCCUAACCCACUUCACAUUUGCAUCAGCUCCAGUUGCAGUCUCUGACAGAACAUCCUCAUAAAGGGCCUCAUUUGCCCAUGCGUGGGCUCUCUCCGCCAUUUUGAAAAUGGGCCAUGGCGUCAUAAAUCCCCCACACAUCAUGCAAUGGAAAGUUAUGAUCCCCGCGGUUUUCCCUCUUCAUUACGGCUCCAGACGACGGCAGGCAUGUACCAUGAGCUUGCC
This is a long non-coding RNA of Cyprinus carpio carpio, 327 nucleotides long. The record is from Ensembl. Lineage: Eukaryota; Metazoa; Chordata; Actinopteri; Cypriniformes; Cyprinidae.